AAGAGGGAGGCCCAAUUUGCUCAGGACCCCCGAGGCCUGGAGAUUGGGGUGACAGCCCUUAUUGGUGUCACUGAAACGUGUGUGGUUAAUCUCAGUCCUUGGGAUCCACAUAAAACCACGUGAAUGUGCUUCUCAUCUAAUAAAUUAUAUAUGAAGGAUGCUGAAAGCAGGGCCUUGGAGAGAGAUGUGUGUACCCGUGUUCACAGUUCACAGCAGCAUUCCUCCAGUUACCAAGAGGUGGAAGCAACCCAAAGUCCAUCGAUGGAAAAAUGGUAAGCAGAUAUAGUAUGAAUAGAUACAGACAGUGGGAUAUUAUUCUGCUUUAGAAAGGAAGGAAAUUCUGAUACAUACCACCGCAUGGAUGCACCUUGAGGACAUUAUGCUGAGUGAAAUGAGCCAGUCACAAAAGACAAAUAUUGCAUGAUUCUAUGUAUGUGAGGUCCCUAGAGUAGUAAUAGAGACAGAAAGUGCAAUGGUGGUGGCCAGUGAUUUCAAGGAGAGCGGAAAGGAGAGUUACUGUUUAAUGGGUGCAGAGUUUCCAUUUUAAAUGACAAAAAGUUCUAGAGAUAUGUGGCACAACAGUGUGAAUUGCUCAAUGCUACUGAACUGUACACUUAAAAAUGGUUCAGAUGGGCCAGGUGUGUACAGGCUCACACCUGUAAUCCCAGAACUUUGGGAGGCCCAGGUGGGCAGAUCACCUGAGAUCAGGAGCUCAAGACCAGCCUGGACAACAUGGCGAAACCCCCGUCUCUACAAAAAUAGAAAAAUUAGCUGGGCAUGAUGGUGGAUACUUGUAAUCCCAGCUACCUGGGAGGCUGAGGUGGGAGAAUUGCUUGAACCCAGUAGGCGGAGGUUGCAGUGAGUCGAGAUCGCGCCACUGCACUCCACAGAGUGAGACUGUCUCAAAAAAAAAAAAAAAAAAAAAGGUUAAGAUGGUAAAUUCUAUGUUAUAUGGUUUUAUUACAAUAAAAAAGUGAGCAUCAUAGUGAUAGUAAAAUCUGACAAAUUGCAUGAGUGAAAAUUACAGACAAAACCUAUUUGUGAGUAUUGAUGCACUAACUACACUCAAAGAAUAACAUACAACAAUGGUUAAAAUGAUAAACUUUAUGUUGUGCAUAUUUUAGCACAAUUUUAAAAAGCCUUCUGAGUUCUUUACUCUCUGACAAAAAUCCUCAGAGGCUGAGCAGGACACAGGGAAGACGGCCAGGGAAAUCCCAGACUGGCACUGCCAGAAGCUUCCAGCCCAUUCCAUCAGGGCACAGCCUGGGAUGGGCUGGGUCCCCAGAGCUGUGCAUGCUGCCAGGAUGCUGAAGACACAUGGUUCAGCUUGGCCCCUAGAUGGUGACCAUCUGUCUAGGCCCUCAGUAAGAGAAAGGGGACCCUCCAUUCCUCAAUGUGGGGGCCUUGAUCCUUAAACAGGGGCUGUCUUUGUUUCCUGAGAGGCCAGAGGCAAAAUGAAAAAGCACAAAUGGAUAACAGAACCCAAAAUAUAAAUUCUGAAGGGCAACAUCUAGUUUCUCUGUAGGAUGGGACAGGGUAGGUCUUCUCUUCUCCUUCCUCUCCUGCUAAUGAGAUUCCCCUUAUGAAAUCCUUGCAAACUGCACCUGCUCCCAUCCUUCUUAAUAAGUCACCCGAAUGAUUGCACAGAAGCCAUGUAGCAUAAUUUUUCAAAUCUCUGCUUUUCUGAUCCAGCCUAAAGGGCAUGACUGGGUUGACACUCCAGUGAAGGCAAAGUUUCCACCACAUGUGUCCCUGGGACCUCUCAUUCUCAUCUAUAAACCCAGAACACUACGACCCCCCCUCCCACAGCAAGAAGCUAAACCUUGAUGAAAAAAUGUCUUAAUAACUGGUCUUUGUCAUCAUUCAAAAUAAUCAAAAUGGACCAAAUGAUGACCUGAACGUCAGAUCAUUGUAUCAAUAAUUUUACAUUUUUUCUUUUUUUAAAAAAAAUUUUCUUUAAAAUUUUUUUUUAAAUUUUAAGUUCUGGGAUACAUGGGCUGAAUGUGCAGGUUUGUUACAUAGGUAUACAUGUGCCAUGGUGGUUUGCUGCACCUAUCAAUCCAUUAUCUAGGUUUAACCCCUGCAUGCAUUAGGUAUUUGUCCUAAUGCUCUCCCUCCCCUUUCCCCCCAUGUGGAACAAAAAAAGAGCCCUUAUAGCCAAGAUAAUCCUAAGCAAAAAGAACAAAGCUGGAGGCAUCAUGCUACCUGACUAUACUACAUCAAACUAUACUACAAGGCUACAGUAACCAAAAGAGCAUGGUACUGGUAUCAAAACAGACAUAUAGACCAAUGGAACAGAACAGAGGCCUCAGAAAUAACACCACACAUCUAUAACCAUCUGAUCUUUGACAAACCUGACAUCUUUUCUUUUAAAAGAAAGAUAGGAAGUUCCUGGAUGGACAUAGGUCUAUGAGAUGAGACCCACAAAAUGUUUCUACUUCCAAAAUUGCUCUAAAAUUACAGUGCAAAUAUAUCCUGCUUUCUAUUACAAUAUUUCAACAAUGAAACGGACUUUGGAAAAUGUGAAAAUGCUUUGUUCCUUGUGGGAGACCUUGAAUGAGCACCCCUCAUUAGGGGAGCUUCUGGGUGGGAAUUACAUGAAGCAGACGCCCCAAAGGUGGUGGGGAGAGAGAACAAACUCUGAAAUACCACUCUGCUUCCAGUGGUAGCUGGGCUGAUAGCCCUCUGUUGUCAAUUACAAACAAAGCCCAGCUUGUAUCCGAUUGCAAAAUAAUACAUAUUCAUUGUUAAAAACAUGAAACCUUGGAAAAUAUAGACGGCCACAAAGAGUCUAUUUCUUUUUAAUUCAGUGUUUUAUCUUCUUUGGGUUUUUUUUUUCCUUUGGAAAAACAAAAAAAGGUUUUCAAAAGAGCCCUAUUUCCAGAUUAUCAAUAAGGAAUAAAAGACCUCUUCCGACAGUUUCAGGAAGCUAUGCCAGGACACAGCAAGAAAGGUAUUCUCAGAGGAAAGAUAACACGACGUCCUAUUGCUGGGCACACCAGAAAAUGGGAAAGGUGUGUGCCUCCCAGAGAAUACUCUGAAAAACAAGUAGAGCCAGACUCCUGCCUGGAGCCUCUGAGAUGCAGACCUCAUGCGGCGCCCCACUCUGCCUUGCAGACACGGUCAGUGUUCUCAGUCUGAAGGACAUAUUAUUUUAUUGCUUUGAGGGCUCCUCAAGGAAAUCCAAAUAUCUGAGAGAACCUUCUUUGUGAAGGAUGACGCACAAGUCUGUUUGCCUCCACCCCAUCCUGAGCGGAGGUGGCCCCAAGGCCAGUUUCCUGCCCUGGCCUGCGUGCCUGGCUGGGCAACUUUGUUCUGUUUUCAGGAACCCUUUUGGAGACACUUCAGUUCACUAGGACAGGCACGCUCUGCAUCCCAGGACCAGCUCCAGCUCAGGAUCUGGGAUGAAGUCCAAAAAAACCUCCUGAGGUUGCGGGGGGAAGAGUCACAGUCACCACUUGAUGACAGAGUAGCAUCAACCCUGGGGUCUUAGGCACGGGGAAACCCUGUCUCUUGGGAGCUGAAAUCCCCUUGCACUUCUACCCAUUACCAGGAAACACAAAGGAACCUGGAUAUUAAGGAUAUAGCUCAAAAUCGUGUAUGGGAGAGGGAGGAGUGGGUCUUUGAGGACAGCGACGGGAGAGGGAGGAGCGGGGCUUUGAGGACAGCGACGGGAGAGGGAGGAGCGGGGCUUUGAGGACAGCAAAUGCAAAUGCUGUGGAGACAACACUUAAGGGCUUGUGGCCGUGGAGCACAGGGCAGAGCCUCCAAGUCCACGAAAUUCCUCCAGCCUUCCAGUGCAAAGGGAGCUCUAGUGAGGUUUCAUUUUCUGCCCUAAUACAUGUUUUGCCAAAACUCCUUCAAGAUGAGUAAAAUGGACAGGUUUAUGUUCCUCUGGAGGACCAGAAAAAUGGCGCCACUGUCAAUGGCAGGUUAAAUCCAUGUAGUCAGUGCUUCGACAGCCAAGAGCUGGCUACACAGUCUUCCAACAUGGGCCCCACAUAAUUAAUUACACAUGGAUGAUAUCAUUAUUUCCGAAAGAGAGGGACACACGCCUCCAUUCUUUUAGGUUGUAUACAGACACAAAAAUCAAUAACACGGGCUCUCACUGUAAAGAAGCUAUUCCCCGCUGAAUCAUUUUUCAAUCCUGAUUCUGACAAGGAAAAAGAGAAGUCCCAGAUUUUCUGACUGUGCAUUUCACACUUCUUGAAUGUCUACUUCAAUCAAGAAAUGUCUGGACCUGGGCUCCAAAACCAUCAGCAGGCCACGAUAUCCAUCUGCAACUGAGAAACGUUUCGUUUUACAAACCAGUGAGACCAACAGGCUUACAGUAAUGAUUUAAGUCUUUUUUGCAUAACAAACUUACAAAGUUUACUAAAUCCACUUCGAGGAAAAUAUUGUCAAUCAUUGUCAGGGUAGUAUAAGUUUAUGGCAAUAAAACCUCAAGGGUGGUAGAGGGAUGACUUCAGACUGGGAAACACUUGGGCAAGAUCUUUCCCUUCCCGACGCCACCCGCUGCUCUCCCACGCUGGCCUCCCUCUCCAGGACUUGCCUGACUAUUUCAGAAAGGUCAGGACACCAGCAGAAGACCAAGCCAGAGGUGGGCAUGGCUCAAACGGAUGCUCUCCCCAUCAACACAUCGUUUCUACACCGCAUCCUUGCACUGAUGAGGCCAGUCUGUGGGCCACACUGAAAACCUCAACCCCUCAUUAGCUUUCCCUCGGAUUCCCUCACUUUGCAAUAAAACUCUGAGCCAGGCUCAGCUCUGUGGAAUCUCAUUCAUCAGCAAUCACUCUAAGGCUAAGCAGGCCUCUGCCUGGGCUGCAUGUGGGCAGAUCAGAUGUCCGGUGGCUGCUGAUGUGGUGAGCACUGGCACAGAGCGAUGUGGUGGUGACUUGAGGUCUCAGGAAAGAACUGGGGGUUUCCAUUAUCCUGGGCUUCCUGGGUAAUGCAAUCUGAAAAUCAAUUCUCAUUAAACACAAGUGAUACUAAUACCUCUGACAGGUUACAUCUUAAAUGAUAAUUAAAAGCAUAUUUCCUGACACUUGGCUGCUAUGAAAUGCAGCCCUAUUUAUGCCACUGAGGAGGCCUCACAGUGAGGCCCUGUGGACAGCCCCCCCAGGAAGCGUCCGAGGUCCUGGAUUGUCACUCAUUAUUUUAAUCUGAUUUUCUUUACUCAAGUAAAAUAGAACCUGGCAUUGGUGCUUUCUUUCACCACUUCCACCAGUGGUCCUUAAAAAACAGUUAACGUUGUCAUAAGCCAAGGAAUGAAGACUUCAUCUUCCACUAACACAGUCUUUGGUUCUAGCCAUGGAUAGCGCUUAUUAAUAAGUGCAGCUGCAUCCCACUAAGUUUUAUAAACCUCUACAAUUCAUGAGAGCUGUGGCAGCUGAGACGUUACAUCCUUCUCUGAGUGUCAUGGUGGAAAGCAUCUCAGUGUCUGAGGCCGUGGAGUGGGAAGUGGAGCUGCCAGGGUCCUCAUGGACACAGACUUUCAGGAAAAUAUGAGUUUUUACAGUGGCCAGUCACAGUUCCUGAUUUGGCACUUUUGGUAUCAAAGUGUCUAAUUUUAUCUCAAAAAUUUUCUAUUGGGAAUAAUGGGAAGGUUCAAUGUCUCCUACAUUUGAACUGGACUUAUUGAUCAUUAAAACAGAUCAUUAAAACAGAGGAAUAGUCAACCAGACCCAAACAAGAAAAAACAUAUCCAUCCUAUGUUACAUUAGCUUCCCAGGGCUGCCAAAACAAAGUACCACAAACGCAGAGGCUGAAAAGAGCAGAAAUUGAUCAUCUCACAGUCUGGAGGCCGGAAGUCUGCAAUCGAGGUGUUGGCAAGGUUGUGCUUUCUCCGAGGCCUCUAGAGAGGAUCCUUCCUGCCUCCUCCAGCUCCUGGUUGCCCCAUGCAUUCCCUGGCUUGUGGCCACAUUGCUCCAGUCUCUGCCUUUCUUUUAACCUGGCUAUUUUCCCUGUGUUUUUUUCUUUUUCUUAAAAGACAUCAGUCAUCUUGGAUUAGGGGCCCACCCUACUCCAUUAUGACCUCAUGUUAACUAAUUACUUUUUUUUUUUUUUUAGAUGAAGUCUCACUCUGUCACCCAGGCUGGAGUGCAGUGGUACAAUCUCAGUUCACUGCAACCUCUGCCGCCCGGGUUCAAGCGAUUCUCCUGCCUCAGCCUCUUGAGUAGCUGGGAUUACAGGCGUGAGCCACCGCACCCGGCCAACUAAUUACAUUUUU
Molecule: long non-coding RNA, 6229 nt
Filed under: Homo sapiens (human)
Lineage: Eukaryota; Metazoa; Chordata; Mammalia; Primates; Hominidae
Description: HSALNT0158578
Source: RNAcentral